UCCCAGGUGGCUCAGUCGGUAAAGAAUCUGCCUGCAAUGCAGGAGAUACAGGUUCAAUCCCUGUGUCGGGAA
This is a non-coding RNA of Bos taurus (domestic cattle), 72 nucleotides long. The record is from Rfam. NCBI's taxonomy places the organism in Eukaryota, Metazoa, Chordata, Mammalia, Artiodactyla, Bovidae.